This 737-nucleotide ribosomal RNA is filed under the name uncultured bacterium. RNAcentral's name for it is "bacterial SSU rRNA". It matches the Rfam family "Bacterial small subunit ribosomal RNA", at positions 59 to 794 of the family's 1533-position model. The record is from RNAcentral.
CAGUCGAAUGAAGCACUUUAUUUGAUUUCUUCGGAAUGAAGAUUUUGUGACUGAGCGGUGGACGGGUGAGUAACGCGUGGGUAACCUGCCUCAUACAGGGGGAUAACAGUUGGAAACGACUGCUAAUACCGCAUAAGCGCACAGGGUCGCAUGACCUGGUGUGAAAAACUCCGGUGGUAUGAGAUGGACCCGCGUCUGAUUAGUCAGUUGGUGGGGUAACGGCCUACCAAAGCGACGAUCAGUAGCCGACCUGAGAGGGUGACCGGCCACAUUGGGACUGAGACACGGCCCAAACUCCUACGGGAGGCAGCAGUGGGGAAUAUUGCACAAUGGGGGAAACCCUGAUGCAGCGACGCCGCGUGAGCGAUGAAGUAUUUCGGUAUGUAAAGCUCUAUCAGCAGGGAAGGAGAAAUGACGGUACCUGACUAAGAAGCACCGGCUAAAUACGUGCCAGCAGCCGCGGUAAUACGUAUGGUGCAAGCGUUAUCCGGAUUUACUGGGUGUAAAGGGAGCGCAGGCGGUACGGCAAGUCUGAUGUGAAAGCCCGGGGCUCAACCCCGGUACUGCAUUGGAAACUGUCGGACUAGAGUGUCGGAGGGGUAAGUGGAAUUCCUAGUGUAGCGGUGAAAUGCGUAGAUAUUAGGAGGAACACCAGUGGCGAAGGCGGCUUACUGGACGAUUACUGACGCUGAGGCUCGAAAGCGUGGGGAGCAAACAGGAUUAGAUACCCUGGUAGU